This 3801-nucleotide long non-coding RNA is filed under the name Ananas comosus (pineapple). Its description in RNAcentral is "long non-coding RNA (ACOM_LNC003047)". Lineage: Eukaryota; Viridiplantae; Streptophyta; Magnoliopsida; Poales; Bromeliaceae. The record is from RNAcentral.
AAUUUCUAAAAUUUUUGAUAAAAUUACUUUAUUAUAAAAAAUUAAAAGUUUAGAAAGUCUAUAUACAUUUUCACCAUAAAAAAUUUUGGUAAAGAAAGUGCAGAGAUCCCUAAACUAUUAAAUGCUUUGAAAUAGACAACUCAAAGUUAUUUCUUUAAAUGAUUUUUUAUAAUUUUUUAAUUUCUUGUGAUUAAUUUUUGUUAAUUAAAUAAAAUAUUUAUUAAAAUUUACAUAAAUUAAAAUAUUUAAGUUAGUUGACCCUAUACUAGUUUUAAUCAAUAUAAAGUUGUGAGAAUAAAAUAAAAUAUACUAGCUAAAUAUGUAAAAAUAAACAACACACAUUUGGUCUUCAAAAUAUGAAGCGGGUGAUACUUUGGUUCUCAAACUUUAAUUUAUUAUAAUUUCUGACUCGAACUUUCAGGAUUGUUGAUAUUAAAUUCCACAACUUAAUUUAUUGACUAAAUAUUGACGUAUUAUUGAAAUAAAGAUAAUAUAACAUCUUAAUUUUUAGCGUAUUAUUAAUCACAACGUUGCUAUAUUAUUUUCCACAUUAGCACCAUAUAAAUACUUAGCCAGUUAUUUUUAGUUAUGAAAUUUAAUUACAAUAAUUAAAACAAUUAAAUAAAAAAUUAUAGUAAAUUAAAAUUGAGAGCCAAAAUGUCAUCCUCCUCGUAUCUUAAACUCUGAGCAUUAAAUUUUAAAAGGUAAACUUCAAAUACCACGACUAAGGUUUCGUACUAUCAUGUAGUUUAAAGCGUAUCAAAUUAGUAUCCUCUAGUUUCAUUUUUAUCUUUUCGUUAAUUUUUUUUUAAUAUUUUAUUAAAUUAUAAACAAAAAACUUCAAAUACUCACUUAUGUUUAUCAAAUAUUAACUUUAGUACCCUUUAGUUUUAACUUUGUCACUAAUUUAACGAAAAAAAUUAGUAAAAUCGAUAAUAAAAAAAUAAAAAAAAAGAAAAACUUCAAACCCCGCCCCCCUAGUUUCGUAGUUUCUUACUUUGCCCCUAUGUAAUUUAAAAUGUAUCAAUUCGCCCCCACGUGGUUUCUUUUUUUUCUUUUUCUUAUCAAUUUCAUUACUUUUUUUUCUUAAAUCAGUGAUAAAGUUAAAAUUAAAGAGUACUAAAGUGAAUAUUUGAUAAAUCUAGAUGAGUAUCUGAAAUUUUUUGUAUAUAAUUUAAUGAAAUAUUAAUGAAAAAGCUAUCGAAAAGAUAAAAACGAAAUCAUUAGAGAACAAAUUGAUACAUUUUAAACCACAGGAGGGCAAAAUGAGAAACUACGAAACCACAGCGGGAUUUUUAAAGUUUUUCCAAAAAAAAAUUAUAGAAUACUUAAUUAAUACAGUUUAAAUUUUAAUGAAAAAGUAUGAAACCAUUAGAAUGGUAUUGAAAGUUUUUUCGAUUUUAAAUUUAAUACUUUAAAAUAUUAGAUAAGCAGCGCAUAAAUUUUGUACAUUUUUGACCCGAUUUAUGGCACAGCGAGAUCCCUGUGACAUAACUCUGCCGUCAGAAUGGCAUGUGAUGGACCCCCACAGAAGAUGUGGGUCCCACUUGUCACUCAGAGCACGCUUGUGGGCCCCACGUGUCAGUAGUAUAACACAGAACCGCCGCACAACAAAUGUUUAUGCGGCCCGAGGUUUCGCUUUCUUCAUUUUCGGUGCUCUUCUUCUUCACACUCCCGCUUCCGUGAAUGGGAAAAGAAAGGUCGAGUUUGGUUAGUUUGGUAGAGGGUACACGUCACCUAACGCAGACUCCUCAACCAAUUUGAUUGUAAUUUACAAUUUUACCCUUCAAUCUCUACUUGAAAUUUAAAAUUUUCUCUCCGCUUCAAAGAUUUGAAUUCAAAUUUUCAAAUUUGAAAAAAUAAAAUAAAAAUUUAAAUCCACGAGAUUCACUUUGUUUACUGAUGAGAGUUUCAUUUAAUUUUUGCCCCCCCGGAAAAUUAAAUUUCACGAGGUGGUCCGAUCAAUGUUAAUAAUAAUAAUGUCCUCCACCACUGCGCGGACCCGCAAUUCGAGGUGCGCGAAAUAUCAAAGUCCACGUAAAUAUUCCACCGCACAAUGUCCACUAUGCCGUUGGAUUCUCCUGUUCAUUUAUUAAAUACCGUAUUAACUCAAUUCAAUAAUUUUCGUUUUAAUUAUCAAAUUAAUUAUGCACUGAAUUUGUCCUUGCUCCGGAAAUUGCGAAAGAGGCCAGUCCAUCUCCAUCUCCAUCCCCUCGCGAUUUACUCCCGAAAUUAACUCAUUUUAAUUAAAUAAAAGAUUUAAAUUUUUCCAUUUUAUAUAUGACUCCUUUAAUCUUACUUUAAUAAUUACUUAUUAAUUAUUUAAUAAUUUUCAAUUUAAUUUGUCCACCGUAAGAAACCGAAACUGAGUCCACAACGGCUGUUUCUCCUUUUGCUUGCUUUGAUUGAUUCCACGCCACCGCCAUACCUGUAACACAAACAAAGAAUAAUAAUAAACAACAUAAAAUAAUAAAUAAAUACAAAUAAUAAAAUAAAAUAAAUAUAUAAAAUAAAUAAAUAUAAAUAAAUGGAACGGGUUUACCACGAAGAAAACGCAACGCGUACACGGCGGCGACGGAGUUAACGGAACGGCGAACGGGAGGCAAACGGCAGUUAACGCGACGCCCCACACGAUGACGGAGACGGCGAACGCAACGGCGGAAACACCUCGCACAAAUCCACGAAACAAUCACGGAUCAAUUAAACACAUCCCAAGUCCAGAAUUAAUUAUGAAUUAGUUGUUGAUUAAUUAAUUAAGGAAUUACUGAAUUAAUGAAUUAAUUAAUGAUUUUGAGUUUUUUUUUUUCUUGUGGGGUGUUCCAGAGUCCUCGAGUUCUGAAGAAUCGUCAAAAUCUCCUUCGAUAGCCAUAUCAAACGGCUGUCACAAAAAGAUAUGUACAAUCGGACGGUUCUGAUUCCGUCCUCACAGCCUCCCUCUUCGAUGAUACAAAAAAAAGGGGAAAAAAUGAAUAAAAUCCGAGCGUAGAGUUCUCCGAGAUUCGAUUCGGACGGCGUUGUUGAGGCCGAUGUCGAGAGAAGAUGAAGGAGGAGUAGAGUAGAAGUAUAGAAGAGGGGCUUGGUUUUUGCCUUUUUCUUUUUUGCUUUUUUUCUUUUUUCUACGAACCUGCGUCGUCGAGAUCUAAGGGGAUGAUGGGACGGACGGUGGAGAUCAUAGAUCGGGGUCGCCGGCUUUGGACAUGACGGAGAGGCGGCUCGGGCGGGGUUGGAACGCGGAGCGGCGGCGUUGGUGGUGGGAGGAGGGGCGGAUGAGGGCGGCGAGGGCGAGGGUGGUGGUGUUGGUGGUGGUGGUGGCUAGGUGGAGGGGGCCGGCUAGGAAGAGGCACAGGCUGGUCUAGGGCAGCGCGGCGGGGCAGGGGCCGCCGCCGCCUAGGAGGCCGCCGCGCCGCGGCCCCGCCUCCUGCACGUACACGAGCGGGUGCUGCGUGGGGCCUAGCAAGGCUACGUCGGAGGUGUUCCCGAAGGUGUCGCCGUCGGGGGUGGUGGCGAGGAGAAGGGGGGUGCGGCGCCGCAGGAGAGGGAGCUUGGCGGAGUUGCGCGCGGCAGAGGCGGGACUACGCGAGCGAGCAGGCGUAGCCGUGGCAGCGCCCACUNGGACGGACGGUGGAGAUCAUAGAUCGGGGUCGCCGGCUUUGGACAUGACGGAGAGGCGGCUCGGGCGGGGUUGGAACGCGGAGCGGCGGCGUUGGUGGUGGGAGGAGGGGCGGAUGAGGGCGGCGAGGGCGCGCUUCACGAGGUCACCCUCGACGGUGCCGAUGCGGACGAGCGAGUUCGUCAUGGCGG